AUGCAGGUUUUUGGAACUCCUUCUUUGCACAGCUCCCUCCUCUUUGUGCUUUGCCCCACACACUGCAGCCCCUCCGCCUCUCCAAGGCCUUAUUUCUGGAUUUCUGGCUCAUCAGCGCAGGGAGAGCUCCCUCCUGUGAUAUCUGGAUUUCUCCUCCUGGAACUAUGGUCCAAAAGUCACCCCCAGGAAGAAAGCUGUAACAAACAAAAGGGUUUCGAGAUUCAGUCCUCAGAGGAAAGCUCAAGGGGAAAUGGAGAGGGUGGGAAGAGUGAGACUGAGUUGGCGGAACUCUGCUCUGCCGUUUAACGCUGCGGAGGGCGCCGUGCUGAUCUCCGGCCCACAGUGGCGCCAACCCCCGCGUCCUGGCUUCCUGCCCCCCGAACCGAUGAACCCACUCACUCGCUGAGGAGGCCUCCUACAAGCCGUGAUUCUGCACUUGGAACCCUGGGCUGGCGCCGCGGAUGCCCUCGGGCAGCCCAUCUUCCACGGUCUGCGUUUCACGCAGGGGAAGCCGAGGCUCGGAGGCGCCCAGGGCCUGCUUAGAGUUACAGUCGGAUGCGUUUGCGGCAGAGGCGAAGCUGAUUUUCUAACCUGUGAACUGACACUGGAGUCCCCGACAGAACUGGGCUGGGGCCGCUGACCGUCUAAAGCCUAAACAAGGAGAAGGGACUGAUUCCCAGGCAAUGGAGCUCAAACUCCAAGAAGGCAUCCUUGCGCCUGGGUGGGGGGAAGGCGGCUCCCAGCUACGUGCUUCUGCAAGAUCCCCCAAAGGGCUGCCACCCUCUGUUCCACUGAGAAAUUAAACUCCGGCUUCGCCACCACGCUGGCUUUUCCACUAGAACGCUGUUUUGCGAAAGAGCUGGCGCUUUGCUAGAUUUCUUUUUCCUUAAGGCAUUUGCUUGGCAUUUCCGGGUCCUUGAUCAACAGAGGAACAUGAAGGGACAAAUGAGAAGAGACGGGGAAAUUCCACAACCAACCACUUAGAAAUUCAAUCCAAAACUUCCAUUAUAGUCUAGACCCAGCCUUUGUUCCUGUGAAAAAACUGUGGAUGUGGAAUAUUUUGUAAUAUGCGUUUUCUAUGUAAUCACCCACAAAACAUUCUGAAUUAACGUAAUAGCAAAUAUCUGAGUAUUUACGCUGUGCUGUGUCCAUGUUUUAUGCGGAUAAAAUACUUUAUGGUUGCAU
This 1185-nucleotide long non-coding RNA is filed under the name Sus scrofa (pig). RNAcentral's name for it is "lncRNA (ENSSSCG00060017510.1)". Lineage: Eukaryota; Metazoa; Chordata; Mammalia; Artiodactyla; Suidae. The record is from RNAcentral.